RNAcentral lists this ribosomal RNA (1128 nucleotides) under Triticum aestivum (bread wheat). RNAcentral's name for it is "partial small subunit ribosomal RNA". The record is from RNAcentral. Lineage: Eukaryota; Viridiplantae; Streptophyta; Magnoliopsida; Poales; Poaceae.
AUGAAGAGGCGGUUCGUCAAUCUGGUGACGCAGAACUGGACGGAGGGCGUGUAUUCGGUGCGCCGGAUCGAUCCUUACCACCAUUUCUUCUACGGGUCAGCAGAUGCAGCGCUCCGAGCAGCGGCGGCCGAGAAGACGGAGCCUUUUCCGGCGAUGCGGAUCAAGGAGCUGCCGACGCCAUGCAUGAACUUCACCGCAGCAGGUAGCCAUGGCGGCACCCUGGACAUGUUCGCGCUCUACAGCCCCCGCGCCACCGGCGACGGCAGAAUAGUCUACACCGACAUGAUGGGCAACGCCGGGCUGUACGACGCCGGCAGACAUGUCCACACCGCGCUGAGCCGCCUCAACGAGCGCAAGGGACCUCAGCCCAUGUGCCUGUCCAUCGCGCACCCCGAUGCGGACGAAGAAGACAAUCUGUACGUCUUGGAUACGUACCCGGGCGACCGUGGGUGCUUCGAGGUCCUUGAGCGCACGCGCAGAAGAUUUAGGUGCAGGAUGAUGCCGCAAUGGCACUGGCGACUUCUUCCGCCGCCUCCCUUUGUCCGCCAACCUUUGUACCGACCAUCCUCUGUCACCUCCUUUACCACCAUGGUCGACGGCGACGGCUGCUCGACCAUCUACAUAUCAUGCGCUGGCGCUGGCGGCGUCGAUGUCGGCACCUACAGCUACGAGACGCCGCGCCACGAGUACAGCGAGCCUCGAGGAUGGCGCCACGUCGGGGAAUGGAUGCUGCCCUUUCGCGGCAGAGCUCACUACGUCCCUGAGUUCAACCUGUGGUUUGGCUUCUCGGCCUCGAGCCCGGACGAUCACCUGUGCGCCGCGGACCUCUCUGCCAUGGACGGCGGACGGCAGCCCUCCGCGCCCACGGUAUGGGAAGAUCUGAACCCGCCUGAUGAGGGAGAGGCGUGGCUUCCAAAGCAGCUCGAGCUUCUCCACCUGGGCGGUGGCAAGUUUCUCAUCGCAAAGACCUUUACGGAAGGAGAAAGAGGUGGAUACUUUUCUGUGCUCACCGGCGUAGAGAUGAUGGCGUGCGCCGCCGGUGAUGACCGGCAGCAGACCCUUCAGAUGGUCAAGCACAAGUGCGCGCGUUUUGUCUUCACGGAUGAGCACAUCGAGCGGGUGCUCUGA